UCAUAACAAAUGUUUAAUAGAUUUUUAAAUUAUUCCGUUUUGAUGUAUUCAAAGUAUCUUAGUGUUUGAGAUUUAAAAACUGUAAAAAAUACUUGAUACCCUGAAGGUAGAAAAAGCUCCAUCACAGUCUUUGCCUUUUGUCAAAGCCUGAAAGGUAGAUUUUAAGGGUGGGGUCACGACUUAGGUUGGGGCUGCUCUCCCAGAUCUCACUGGUGGACAUGGCUGUGGGACAGCCAUAGAGAUCGGCCCUCAGUGUAAGACUGGGAUAAGUGAAAAGAACACAAAUAAGAUAUGGCCCAAUAUUGAUUUAAACAUAGGAAAGUGUGAGCAGGAGAUUCACCCCCACAAGCCUAGCUCACCAUUCAAUAUGAUCAUGACAGUUCUGUCAAACCCUCAUCUUCUCUUCUGUGCCUUUUUGCCCAAAACUUCAAUUCCCCAAUCUUUCAAAAAUAGGAGCUGUGGGCGGCAUGGCACAACGGUAGAGUUGCUGCCUUUGUAGAAUCCUAAUAUCCUAAUCAUAAUACACCCUCUCAUUUGUACUUGUAUCAUUGACAAACCUGGAUACCUUACUCCCUCUGCUUCUUUAUCAUGUUCAUUAAUAAACUGUAAAUAAUUGAGGGCCAACAACUGAUCCUUGGGGCACUUACUGACAUUCAGCCUGAAAAAGACUAAUUUAUUCAAAAAAAUUUUCUUGAGUAAAUACAUUUACGUAACCAAAUCUAAGAUGUUAAAAUCAAUUUACAUAACAAUCUAAUAUGUUUAAAGUGGCUGUAAAAUAUCAAGACAUUUCUGUAUUUGGAACUAAACUGCAUACAUGGAGGAUUCUGAAACGACUCGGUUUCUCGUUCCAAAGAAUUUAAAUAUUGCCCAACCUGCAGAGCGUUUCCAACAUUUACUGUUGUUAUAAGUAAAAUAUUAAGAUGGUUUGACAGGGUUGUUGGCAAGAACUGCUUUUCAUCUGGCCAGAGAGUCACAACCAAAUCGCAUCAGAGCUUAGAUUGAUUCUCUUUUGUAAACCUGUGUAGGAUAUGGAUGUUACAGUGAGGCCAACAUUUAGCGACCACGGACUACAUUUGAAGAGGUGAUGGCAGGAUCAUAUUACAACUCGACCACUCAUCCACACACUGAGGGUAAUUAACAACUCAUUGUCCCCAUGAGGGAGGAUACUGGUGCAGCCACUGGAAACCCAUGCAGUUACAGAUUCUAUUAUCAGCUCAUAUUAUCACCUCAUCAGUUCCCCACAGAUUCUAUAACUCGCUACACAAUUUAGGGGAAAUUUACAGUGUCCAA
Amblyraja radiata (thorny skate) is the source of this 1290-nucleotide long non-coding RNA. RefSeq lists it as uncharacterized. NCBI's taxonomy places the organism in Eukaryota, Metazoa, Chordata, Chondrichthyes, Rajiformes, Rajidae. The record is from RefSeq and is a predicted model, not a curated record. The transcript has 3 exons.